This 331-nucleotide ribosomal RNA is filed under the name Salmonella enterica subsp. enterica serovar Livingstone. Its description in RNAcentral is "partial 23S ribosomal RNA". It matches the Rfam family "Bacterial large subunit ribosomal RNA", at positions 1260 to 1591 of the family's 2925-position model. The record is from RNAcentral. Lineage: Bacteria; Pseudomonadati; Pseudomonadota; Gammaproteobacteria; Enterobacterales; Enterobacteriaceae.
CCUGUGAGGGUUGCUGGAGGUAUCAGAAGUGCGAAUGCUGACAUAAGUAACGAUAAUGCGGGUGAAAAACCCGCACGCCGGAAGACCAAGGGUUCCUGUCCAACGUUAAUCGGGGCAGGGUGAGUCGACCCCUAAGGCGAGGCCGAAAGGCGUAGUCGAUGGGAAACAGGUUAAUAUUCCUGUACUUGGUGUUACUGCGAAGGGGGGACGGAGAAGGCUAUGUUAGCCGGGCGACGGUUGUCCCGGUUUAAGCAUGUAGGCGGAGGUUCCAGGUAAAUCCGGUACCUUAUUAACGCUGAGGUGUGAUGACGAGGCACUACGGUGCUGAAGU